UACCUAUACGUUGCCUCGGCGGAUCAGCCCGCGCCCCGUAAAACGGGACGGCCCGCCCGAGGACCCUAAACUCUGUUUUUAGUGGAACUUCUGAGUAAAACAAACAAAUAAAUCAAAACUUUCAACAACGGAUCUCUUGGUUCUGGCAUCGAUGAAGAACGCAGCAAAAUGCGAUAAGUAAUGUGAAUUGCAGAAUUCAGUGAAUCAUCGAAUCUUUGAACGCACAUUGCGCCCGCCAGUAUUCUGGCGGGCAUGCCUGUUCGAGCGUCAUUUCAACCCUCAAGCUCAGCUUGGUGUUGGGACUCGCGGUAACCCGCGUUCCCCAAAUCGAUUGGCGGUCACGUCGAGCUUCCAUAGCGUAGUAAUCAUACACCUCGUUACUGGUAAUCGUCGCGGCCACGCCGUAAAACCCCAACUUCUGAAUGUUGACCUCGGAUCAGGUAGGAAUACCCGCUGAACUUAAGCAUAUCAAUAAGCGGAGGA
RNAcentral lists this ribosomal RNA (483 nucleotides) under Fusarium equiseti. RNAcentral describes it as "eukaryotic LSU rRNA". The stretch from base 117 to 270 matches the Rfam family "5.8S ribosomal RNA". The record is from RNAcentral. Lineage: Eukaryota; Fungi; Ascomycota; Sordariomycetes; Hypocreales; Nectriaceae.